This is a long non-coding RNA of Oncorhynchus tshawytscha (Chinook salmon), 796 nucleotides long. The record is from Ensembl. NCBI's taxonomy places the organism in Eukaryota, Metazoa, Chordata, Actinopteri, Salmoniformes, Salmonidae.
CCGGACUUGAACCCAAUUGAACAUCUCUGGCGAGACCUGAAAAUAGCUGUGCAGCGACGCUCCCCAUCCAACCUGACAAAGCUUGAGGAUUUGCAGAGGAGAAUGGGAGAAACUCCCAAAAUACAGGUUGGAGCAAGGUGCUACAACACUGGGCGACAAUGGAGCAGUUGUUCUGGGGGAUUAAGUGCCUUGCUCAAGGGCACAACUGCAUUAAAUGGCAUCUAGGAUUUUAUACCCUUUGGUUGCCAGCUCACAUCCCGACAUAUUUCGAGGAGGGAUGCGACACCACUCUUCCACAAGAUCAUUUGGUGUUUUGUUGAUGGUGGUGGAUAACGGUGUCUCAGGCGUCGAUCCAGAAUAUCUCAGAAGUGUUCAAUUGGGUUGAGAUCUGGUGACUGAGACGGCCAUGGCAUAUGUUUAAAUCGUUUUCAUGCUCGCUCAGUGACCACUUGUGCCCUGUGGAUGGGGGCAUUUACAUCCUAUGGGGGCUUAGCCAUGGAAGCCAAAACAAUGGCCUGCACAGACUUUUUACAUAUUACCGUGAGCAUGAUGAAAUGUUAAUUGCUUAAUUAACUCAGGAACCACACCUGUGUGGAAGCAACGUCUUUUACUCUACUUUGUAUCACUCAUUUACUCAACUGUUUCCAUUAUUAGGCUCUGGUCAAAAGUCGUGCAGUCUAGGGAGUAGGGUGACUUUACGGACACAGGCAUAGAGAACAUAGAGUCCCCCCCCCAUCAUGAUGUUCUAGCUCUAGCAAACCCUCUGCCCUCUAUCUCUCUUCCCCAUUAGGCACAC